This is a long non-coding RNA of Schistocerca piceifrons (Central American locust), 489 nucleotides long. RefSeq lists it as uncharacterized. The record is from RefSeq and is a predicted model, not a curated record. The transcript has 3 exons. NCBI's taxonomy places the organism in Eukaryota, Metazoa, Arthropoda, Insecta, Orthoptera, Acrididae.
GGAGUUGGACAUGGGGGAGAGUUAUCAAUGAUCUUCUAUCAAAAGAAUCAAGACUAUAACUUUGAUCCUGAAUCAGAAGAAGAGAAAGUGCGCAGAAAUAUGUUGCGUCUCUGGACGAAUUUCGCAAAAUAUGGGAACCCAACCCCUGAGGCUGAUCCUGUGAUUUGGGAACCAUACGACCAGAGCAGCCGCAGCUACCUGCUGAUGCAGGCCAACUUUACACUCGCACACGACAGGCUUGGGGAGCGCCUGGGAUUCUGGAGAGAGAACGUGCCACUGCUGCCAUUUCCCGACACACAGUGAUAGACACACCAUAAGAGAUAUGCACAGACAAAGGAGGAAACGAAAAACAGCAGAUUACAGCUGAGUACUGAGUGUCAGCAAAGAACUCACCCAAGAAUUUGAGCCAGAUACCUGUUCUGCAUAUCUGCUAAACCAUUGUGAAAUGCAUCACGUAAAAUAGAUCGCCAAUGCGCUUUCAGGCGUCAA